UCGCACGACACCAGGGGUGGUGU
Molecule: small nuclear RNA, 23 nt
Filed under: Arabidopsis thaliana (thale cress)
Lineage: Eukaryota; Viridiplantae; Streptophyta; Magnoliopsida; Brassicales; Brassicaceae
Description: snRNA_08360
Source: RNAcentral